RNAcentral lists this ribosomal RNA (859 nucleotides) under Wolbachia pipientis. RNAcentral's name for it is "bacterial SSU rRNA". It matches the Rfam family "Bacterial small subunit ribosomal RNA", at positions 65 to 962 of the family's 1533-position model. Lineage: Bacteria; Pseudomonadati; Pseudomonadota; Alphaproteobacteria; Rickettsiales; Anaplasmataceae. The record is from RNAcentral.
AAUUAUUUGUAGCUUGCUAUGGUAUACUUAGUGGCAGACGGGUGAGUAAUGUAUAGGAAUCUACCUAGUAGUACGGAAUAAUUGUUGGAAACGACAACUAAUACCGUAUACGCCCUACGGGGGAAAAAUUUAUUGCUAUUAGAUGAGCCUAUAUUAGAUUAGCUAGUUGGUGGGGUAAUAGCCUACCAAGGUAAUGAUCUAUAGCUGAUCUGAGAGGAUGAUCAGCCACACUGGAACUGAGAUACGGUCCAGACUCCUACGGGAGGCAGCAGUGGGGAAUAUUGGACAAUGGGCGAAAGCCUGAUCCAGCCAUGCCGCAUGAGUGAAGAAGGCCUUUGGGUUGUAAAGCUCUUUUAGUGAGGAAGAUAAUGACGGUACUCACAGAAGAAGUCCUGGCUAACUCCGUGCCAGCAGCCGCGGUAAUACGGAGAGGGCUAGCGUUAUUCGGAAUUAUUGGGCGUAAAGGGCGCGUAGGCUGGUUAAUAAGUUAAAAGUGAAAUCCCGAGGCUUAACCUUGGAAUUGCUUUUAAAACUAUUAAUCUAGAGAUUGAAAGAGGAUAGGGGAAUUCCUGAUGUAGAGGUAAAAUUCGUAAAUAUUAGGAGGAACACCAGUGGCGAAGGCGUCUAUCUGGUUCAAAUCUGACGCUGAAGCGCGAAGGCGUGGGGAGCAAACAGGAUUAGAUACCCUGGUAGUCCACGCUGUAAACGAUGAAUGUUAAAUAUGGGGAGUUUACUUUCUGUAUUACAGCUAACGCGUUAAACAUUCCGCCUGGGGACUACGGUCGCAAGAUUAAAACUCAAAGGAAUUGACGGGGACCCGCACAAGCGGUGGAGCAUGUGGUUUAAUUCGAUGCAACGC